This 3735-nucleotide long non-coding RNA is filed under the name Homo sapiens (human). RNAcentral's name for it is "HSALNT0343928". Lineage: Eukaryota; Metazoa; Chordata; Mammalia; Primates; Hominidae. The record is from RNAcentral.
CAGGUGAGGAAACAGGGACACACCUUCCCGGAGGAGGGGCAGGGCCCCUCCGCGCGCGAGCCCCAUUGGUGUGAAAGAAGCUCCCGCGUCAGAGCUGGGAAGUGCCGGGCCGGCGGGGAGGGGAGCCCGGGCGCACGGGCCAGGCCGCGGGCUGUCCCAGGGAGCCCCGAGGGCGCGGUGCGCGGGCGCAGGUCGGGCGCAGGCGGGGUGACCCGGGGAAGGGGCGCGCACAGAGACAGAGGGAGCCAGCCGGGCCCCACGGUGUCCUCGGACGCCUCCGAAAUCUCCCUGCGUGUUUGUUUCUUCGGAGCUUCACCGGAGCCUGACUCUGGAACCGGCCUGUCUGCCUGCUGCAGUCUGUCAUUCAACAUUUAUUCAACCAAAAAUACUAAGUCAGCUCUAUACAAACUAAUGGAAGGAUACAGCUAUGCAAAUAUAGAACACUAAAGUGUUACAUGACAGAUGUAUGAGUCUUGGAUAUGUCUUUAUCAGCAGUAUGAAAACUGACUAAUACAGUAAAUUGGUACCAGUGGAGUGGGGCGCUGCUGAAAAGAUACCUGAAAAUGUGGAAGCGACUUUGGAACUGGGUAACAGGCAGAGGUUGAAACAGUUUGGAGGGCUCAGAAGAAGACAAGAAAAUGUGGGAAAGUUUGGAGCUUCCUAAAGACUUGUUGAAUGGCUUUGACAAAAAUGCGGAUACUGCUAUGGACAAUAAGGUCCAGGCUGAGGUGGUCUCAGAUGGAGAUGAGGAACUUGUAGGGAACUGGAGCAAAGAUGACUGUUGUUAUGUUUUAGCAAAGAGACUGGUGGCAUUUUGCCCCUACCACAGAGAUUUGUGGAACUUUGAUCUUGAGAGAGAUGAUUUAGGGUAUCUGGCUGAAGAAAUUUCUAAGCAGCAAAGCAUUCAAGAGGUGAUUUGGGUGCUGUUAAAAGCAUUUCAUUUUAAAAGGGAAACAGCAUAAAAAUUUGGAAAAUUUGCAGCCAGUUGAUGCAGCAGAAGAGAGAAACCUGUUUUUUGAGGAGAAAUUCAAGCUGGCUGCAGAAAUUUGCAUAAGUUACAGGGAGCUGAAUGUUAAUCUCCAAGACAAUGGGGAAAAUGUCUCCAGGGCAUGUCACAGGUCUUCAUGGCAGCCCCUCCCAUCACAGACCCUGAAGACUAGGAGGAAAAAAUGGUUUUGUGGGCCAGGCCCAGGGUCCCCAUGCUGUGUGCAGCCUAGGGACUUGGUGCCCUGCAUCCCAGCUGCUCCAGCCAUUGCUAAAAGGGCCGAGGUACAGCUCUGCCCGUGGUUUCAGAGGGUGCAAGCCCCAAACCUUGGCAGCUUCCAUGUGGUGUUGAGCCUGCAGGUGCAUGGAAGUCAAGAAUUGAGGUUUGGGAACCUCCAUCUAGAUUUCAGAAGAUGUAUGGAAUCACCUGGAUGCUCAGGCAAAAGUUUGCUCCAGGGGCAGAGCCUUCAUGGAGAACCUCUGCUAGGGCAGUGUGAAGGGAAAUGUGGGGUUGGAGCCCCCACACAGAAUCCCUACUGGGGCACCACCUAGUGGAGCUGUGCAAAGAAGGCCACCGUCCUUCAGACCCCAGAAUGGUAGAUCCACCGACAGCUUGUACCGUGCACCUGGAAAAGCCACAGACCCUAAACGCCAGCCCGUGAAAGCAGCCAGGAGUGGGGACUAUACCCUGUGAAGCCACAGGGGCAGAGCUGCCCAAGACUAAGGGAACCUACCUCUUGCAUCAUUGUGACCUGGAUGUGAGACAUGGAGUCAGAGGAGAUCAUUUUGGAACGUUAUAAUUGGACUGCCUCGCUGGAUUUUGGACUUGCAUGGGGCUUGUAACGCCUUUGUUGUGGGCACUUUCUCCCAUUUGGAAUGGCUGUAUUUACCCAUUACCUGUAUCCCCAUUGUAUGUAGGAAGUAACUAGCUUGCUUUUGAUUUUACAGGAUCAUGGGUAGAAGGGACUUGCCUUGUUUCAGAUGAGACUUUGGACUACGGACUUUUGGGUUAAUGCUGAGAUGAGUUAAGACUUUGGGGGACUGUUUGGAAGGCAUGAUUGGUUUUGAAAUGUGAGAACAUGAGAUUUGGAGGGGCCAGGGGCAGAAUGAUAUGGUUUGGCUGUGCCCCCACCCAAAUCUCAACUUGAAUUGUUAUCUCCCAGAAUUCCCAGGUGUUGUGGGAGGGACCCAGGGGGAGGUAAUUGAAUCAUGGGGGCCGGUCUUUCCCAUGCUAUUUUUGUGAUAGUGAAUAAGUCUCAGGAGAUCUGAUGGGUUUAUCAGGAGUUUCUGCUUUUGUUUCUCUCUCAUUGUCUCUUGCCGCUGCCAUAUAAGAAGUACCUUUUGCCUCCCACUGUGAUUCUGAGGCCUCCCCAGCCAUGUGCAACUAACUGGGAAGAAAGGACCCUGAAAAGUUAGCUGGUUCCAAGUGACCCUCCAAGGGGAAGAGUGCUGGAUUCAGAGCCCACCUCAGGGGAAGACAGGACCCUCUCCAAGAUGGUUUCCCUAGAAGCUACUACCUCUCCCUGGAGGGUGGAGAUAUUUGCUGGUCAAAGCAAGAAGGCCCUCUGCAGAUGCUGACACCUUGAUAUUGGACUUCCCAGAUUCCAGAACUCUGAGAAAUAAAUUUCUAUUUUAAAUAAAUUACCCAGUCUGUGAUAUUCUGUUAUAGCAACACAAAAUGGACUUAGACGGUAUGCUAAUGAGAUGACUGCUGGCAGGGAGCUCUGAAAUAACUUUAGGAUAGGGGCUGGUUACUACAAAAACAAAGGCAUGUUUAGUGGGUUGGGACUUUCAGCCUAUACCUCAACCUCUGGGGAGGGGAGAGGGCCUGAAGUUUGAGUUGAUCACUAAUGGCCAAUGAUGUAAUCAAUCAUGCCUGUGUAAUGAAGGCUUUACAGAAAACCAAACAGGGUUUGCAGACUUUCUUGAUUGCUGAACACAUGGAGGUUCCUGGAGGGUGGUGUGCCCAGAGAGGUCAUGGAAGCUCCAUGCCCCUUCUCCAAUACCUCACCAGAUGCAUCUCUCUCAUCUGGAUGUUCAUCUCUAUCCUUUGUAAUAUCCUUCGUAGUAAAUGGUCAAACUUAAGUAAAGUGUUUCCCUGAGUUCUGUGAGCCACUUUAGCAAAUUAAUUGAGCCUAAGGCGGGGGGUCAUGAGAGUCCCAAUGUAUAGCCAGUUGAACAGAAGCACAGGUCGCAACCUGAGGCUUGCAAUUACCAUCUGUAGUGUUGGGUGGGGGGAACAGGCUUGUGGGAUCUGACACUGUCUCCCAGUAGAUAGUGUCAGAAUUGAAUUGAUUUUUAGGGCAUGCAGUCGGUGUCCAUUGCAGAUUGCUAGGUGUGUGGGGAAAAACCUCAACGUAUCUGUUGUUAGAAGUAAAUUGUUGAGUGACUGUGUGAGUAUAAGCAAAGGAGUAGGAAAAGCACCUUUGGUUUUUUCAAUAUUUUAGAGAAUCCAGAUGUCUUGGCUCUGAGCCAGUCAUCUGAGGACCAAACCAGGCCGUGCCUAGUAGUGAACCUCUUCUCUUGACCCAACAAGAUUACAAAAAUUAAAAACAAACGAAUAAACAGAGACAGGUCAAAAAAAGUAAACAAAAACCAAAACAGCAAGUCAAAUGAAAGCAGGGCUCUUAAUCAAAGUUCAUCAAGAAGGUAAGAAAAAUUGAUAUGGUCUGGGAAAACAUCAGAGCUGUGAGACAGCAUUCCAACUCUUGUUUUUCUCCCACUUUUUCUUUUUUCUUUUCUUUUCUUCCC